GACGAACCACCCGAACGUUAUUCGGAAUUACUGGGCUUAAAGGGUGCGUAGGCGGCGCGGAAAGUUGGAUGUGAAAUCCCUCGGCUCAACCGAGGAACUGCGUUCAAAACUACCGUGCUUGAGGAAUACAGAGGUAAGCGGAACUUCGGGUGGAGCGGUGAAAUGCGUUGAUAUCCGAAGGAACACCGGUGGCGAAAGCGGCUUACUGGGUAUUUUCUGACGCUGAUGCACGAAAGCCAGGGGAGCAAACGGG
This 253-nucleotide ribosomal RNA is filed under the name uncultured bacterium. RNAcentral describes it as "partial 16S ribosomal RNA". It matches the Rfam family "Bacterial small subunit ribosomal RNA", at positions 524 to 776 of the family's 1533-position model. The record is from RNAcentral.